This 408-nucleotide ribosomal RNA is filed under the name uncultured Diversispora. RNAcentral's name for it is "partial 28S ribosomal RNA". The record is from RNAcentral. Lineage: Eukaryota; Fungi; Glomeromycota; Glomeromycetes; Diversisporales; Diversisporaceae.
GAGAGUUAAAUAGUACGUGAAAUUGUUGAAAGGGAAACGAUUGAAGUCAGUCAUGCUAGUGAAAAAUCAGUUUGACGGGUUUUGAGUUCGGGAGUAGAGGCAGGGUCAAACCGUUUCUCUUUUGGACUUGGGAUUUGUCGGAUGUACUUUUUCUUUGGCAGGUCAGCGUCGGUUUCGGAGGUUGUAAAAUACUUGGGGGAAAGUAGCUCUGCUUCGGGAGAGUAUUAUAGACCCUGGGGGAUGCAUCCUGUGGGAUCGAGGAUUGCAGCAAAUGCCUUUGGCUUGUCGCCUGAUCUCUGGAUGUUACCUUGCUUGUGACAACAUUCUUGCCACCGGUGAGUACUGAUGCCCAUUAGGUUAGAACGAUCAAAAAUUUGCUAAGGAUGCUGACGUAAUGGCUUUAAACGA